Molecule: transfer RNA, 87 nt
Filed under: Kiritimatiellaceae bacterium
Lineage: Bacteria; Pseudomonadati; Kiritimatiellota; Kiritimatiellia; Kiritimatiellales; Kiritimatiellaceae
Description: tRNA-Leu
Rfam family: tRNA
About the family: Transfer RNA (tRNA) molecules are approximately 80 nucleotides in length. Their secondary structure includes four short double-helical elements and three loops (D, anti-codon, and T loops). Further hydrogen bonds mediate the characteristic L-shaped molecular structure. tRNAs have two regions of fundamental functional importance: the anti-codon, which is responsible for specific mRNA codon recognition, and the 3' end, to which the tRNAs corresponding amino acid is attached (by aminoacyl-tRNA synthetases). tRNAs cope with the degeneracy of the genetic code in two manners: having more than one tRNA (with a specific anti-codon) for a particular amino acid; and 'wobble' base-pairing, i.e. permitting non-standard base-pairing at the 3rd anti-codon position.
Source: RNAcentral
GCCGGGGUGGCGGAAUUGGUAGACGCACUGGACUCAAAAUCCAGCGGUAGUGAUACCGUGAGGGUUCGAUUCCCUCCCUCGGCACCA